CCCCAUUAAAAGAAAGGGGUGAAGGGUUUGAACAGGCAUUACUGCAAGGAAUACACAAAUAGCCACAGGCACAGGGAAGCGUGCUCCACCUCUGGUCUCUGUGCGGCACUGCUGGGCACGGCAUUGUCCAGGAACUCUCAGGCAGCCAGGGUGCAGGGAGGCAGGUGCUGCCUGAUGCUUGGCCAGAGCGUCUCUCUCCUUCUUCCUCCCUGGGUGGCCACACACCCUGGCUGGGGUGUGUCAGGGUGGAUUUGAGCCAGCUGUGGGGGCAGGUGGCUCUGCAGGGGUCCAGGAAGGUUUGCAGGGCUUCCUGCACCUCACUUGUCUCUCAUGGGCACCGCACUGCCGCCUUUAGUCCAGGAGGGUUUGUGGGGGGCUUCCUGCACCUGACUUGUCUCUCAUGGGCACCGCACUGCCGCCUUUAGUCUAGGAGGGUUUGUGGGGGGCUUCCUGCACCUGACGCAUCUCUCAUGGGCAUCACAUAGCAACCUUUAGUCCUGCCUGGUUGUCCACAGUUGGACGAUCAUUUUCGGUGACCUUUACCCCAGCAGGAAGGGGGAGGAACGGUGAAGGGAAGAAUAAACACGCUCCACAGUAGGGAAAGUUUACAAUCCUUGCCUGCAGUGGCGCACACACUUUUUUGCUUUCUAAGCACAGGAACCUGCCUGGGCUCCAUGUCCUCACUGGCCAAUGACCGUCAUGCUGCACCUCCAGGACCAGCUCUCACUGCACACCCUCCUGAGCAACAGAGGAGGUCUUCAGGUCACUGCCUCCGCCACAGUGAGACAGCAGGCUCAGCCACGCUGGGCAUGAGUGACACACGGCAGCCAGUAGCCAUCUUACUGCCACUUGGAGAAGCUUGUUCAAGAAUAAAGCCAAGAAGAGGUCCCUCAGCAAUGAAGGCAGCAGCGACACCACAGCCUCCAGCCCAGGGCAAGAGGACGCACCUUCCCCAGCGCUGCUGGAGCUCAUGGAACCACCUGCUCUUCCCAAGUGGGGAAACUGUCGCUGUGGGAAGGUAACGUCACGGACCUUGCUACUCAUGAGCUCUGAUGAGGAGUGUAAAUUUCGUUGAUGAAAAGAGAACAAUUUCCUAAUAAACAUUAUCAUCUAGUUAA
RNAcentral lists this long non-coding RNA (1118 nucleotides) under Homo sapiens (human). Its description in RNAcentral is "HSALNT0299896". Lineage: Eukaryota; Metazoa; Chordata; Mammalia; Primates; Hominidae. The record is from RNAcentral.